UGCUGGCCCCUCUGAGUGUCAGAAUCAUAACAAUUGCCAUCCUCACCAACCUCUAACGUUAUUGAUUUCAGCUACUGAACUGUCCAACUACUCAUCACUGAAUUUCAAAUGUUACAAUAACAGAUUAAAUUAAUGUGUAACUCAAUUAGCUUAUAUUUGCUGUAACAUCAAAUAGGUGGCUAUGACUAUUUUUCUAGAUCCCACAACAAUGUAAAGAAGACCAAUCUGGCACCAAGACAGAGGUGUAUUAUGAAAACCAUUUUCUUCCUUGGGAAUGGAACAUCACAGCCUUAAUUCAGAACAACCACGUGGAAUCAACUGUGCCUGUAAAUAGCACGGUGGUCCCAUUUCAGGCUGGGGUGGCAGCUGUGAAUAUACCUCAUCUAGGCUCCAUCUCAAUAGGAUCAUCUCCAGACUGUGUCCAGGAAGCUCUACCUCAUACCGACGGCUCUUCCUCACAGCAUUCACCUCAACACCAGAUUCUGCAAUGAUGCAGCCAUAACAUCAGGUAUGAAGAGCUCCAGGAGCCUUGGAAGAAGAGAUUAAGUGAAGGAAGUGGCUGCUUUUGAAACAAUUUCUGCUGCUAUUUUCUGUUGUUUUUAAGAUGUAUGUAUGUAUGUAUGUAUGUAUGUAUGUAUGUAUGUAUGUAUGUAUGUAUGUAUGUAUGUAUGUAUGUAUGUAUGUAGCUAGGCCAUGUAUGUUUUUGUAUUUAAAUAAAUAUAUGUUAUUACUUGUGC
Molecule: long non-coding RNA, 737 nt
Organism: Salmo salar (Atlantic salmon)
Lineage: Eukaryota; Metazoa; Chordata; Actinopteri; Salmoniformes; Salmonidae
Source: RefSeq, a predicted model, not a curated record